Molecule: long non-coding RNA, 659 nt
Organism: Tupaia belangeri chinensis (Chinese tree shrew)
Lineage: Eukaryota; Metazoa; Chordata; Mammalia; Scandentia; Tupaiidae
Exons: 3
Source: RefSeq, a predicted model, not a curated record
GUUAAACGGAUUAGGUGGACAGAAAAUAAGAUUGAGGACAGUUCUCUAAAGUCAGGAGCAGAGGCAGUGGAAGAGAGAGAUGACAAUCUUACAAGGAAAUUGAUGUCCUUGACUACCGUGGAGGCCAUCACAAAUUGCCUGCUGACUCCAUUAUGAAAACUUGAGUUCACUGAAUCCCUCAACUAUUUGGGCUUUAGGCAAGCCAGUUAGAUCUCUGGGAGCAGGAGCAGCCUUUCUUAAAACAAUGAUGAGGUUAGAAUGACUGGAUGAAUUUAACAGUAACGCCCCUUCUAAAGACGGAGCGUCUUCGACUUCCAAAGACUGGGCUUAAACAAACAAAAAAAAAUGAUGAUUCUAACUUCACAUACAGGAGUAUCUCAAGGCAAGAUGUUUUAGAACAUUUUCCUCCCCCCCACCCCGCCUCUUGAUGGAAAAGCCUCAAACCAUGGUGCAGGCCUUCUGAAAAAUCUUCCCUCAUUUAACUCACUUGUAAAUCCUCAGUUGCCUGACUCUUCUUUCUGGAGAUCUCCUAGUGCACACCUGUGUGGUUUCUGUACUGACUGGCCCUAAGGUAUCAUUAUUCCGAAGUGUCAUUAUUCUGAAGUAUCAUACUCUAAAAUAUCAUUAAUCUUAAGUACCAUAUUCUAAAGAUGAGCAGA